This is a long non-coding RNA of Cavia porcellus (domestic guinea pig), 5501 nucleotides long. RefSeq lists it as uncharacterized. Lineage: Eukaryota; Metazoa; Chordata; Mammalia; Rodentia; Caviidae. The transcript is spliced from 3 exons. The record is from RefSeq and is a predicted model, not a curated record.
CACUCCUGGCACAGAAUAUUUGACAUCUGCAAUGUAAAGGAGGAGAGAUUCAUUUUGGCUCACAGUCCAGAAGUUUCAGUUCAUGUUUGGCAGGUUUAAAACAGCAACAGCAUGGCAACAAGACCUGGAUGGAGGAAAGCUGCUCUCCUCACAGCAGCCAGGAAACAGAGAGAAAGGAGGAGCUGGAGAGGGAGAUGGAGUCUUCAGGCCACUCCCCAGCUGACAAGCUUCCUCCAACGAGGCCCCACUCCUAAAAAUACAGAAAUACAAGUGCAGAGAGUUAAAGCAACUUCUUGAAAGUCAGAUGGUUAACGACUAAGUCAGAAUUCCAAGUCAGGCAUCCAAGCUCCAGAAAUGCUACUCAACCACUGUUUUCCAUUAAUUCAUCCAUUUUGAUGAAUUCUACCAGGAUCUCUGACCCUUUGAGAGUUUUGUUCAUGGUUGCAAUUCUGACAUGUGGGUCAAUAUGUGGCCUAUAGGACAUGCUCCAAGUUUAUGAAGCUAGAAGAAUGUAAUAAAAGUAGAACAAGACUCCUCUGUUUUAUUUUUCCUUGUGGAUAAUGAGCGAAGGAUACACCUGUGCCACUUGGUCUCCAGGAUGAACUCGUCACAUUGGCUUCCUGGCAUGUACUGGACUGUGCUUGUUGGAGGAGCCUCCAUUGCACUGAGGAUGGCUGUGGUGCUUUUCCUGAGCCCUUGUCUUUGUUGUGAGUGUGACUUCUUGGCUCCAGCUUGGAACCCUCAUCCCACCAGCACAGUUCCUUCAUCCCACUGGCAUGGACUUCCUAGUUUCCACUCCUGACCUUUGGGCCUUCCCAGCAUGGAUCCAUAAAAGAGAUUGGUGUGAGUCCUUCUUGUGGGCUCUGGACCUCCAGUUGGACUCGUGGGAGGCAUUGUCAUGAGCUCUGGGUUUUCAUCUGGACUCAUGUGGGACAUUGCUGUGGGGUUUAGGCCCUUGGCUAAAUAUUCUAUGUCUUUGGUGUUGCAGAUAGAUUUCCUGCAUUUUCUUGUGUUAACUCUGGGUGACCAUCAUAAAAAUAAUAUUAUAAACUCCAUGUCCUGAUUCUAAUUUUUCUCUGUACAACUCCUGAGUACAAUUUUGAGAUGUUGCGGAAAAUGAAAUCUUCCAAUUUUACAAAGAAAACUGGAGACUGGGGAUGUAGUGCAGUGGUAAAGUGUGCAAGGCCUUGGGUUUCAAUACCCAGUGCUACAAAAUAAAGAAUCAAACAAAGAAACAAACAAACAGGAAAAUAGAGUAUUAUUCUUUCCUGGUAAACUGGUAGGACCCAGUAAUAUUGGUAGCCUAGCAUAUAAAGGGAAUUUACACAUAGAAAAAAUAAUCCUUUAAAAAUAGACUUACAUAUACAAGUUGUAUGAAAUAUGGUUUGGUAAUACCAUUAGUGAAUGUAGACCUUUAAUGAGAAUAAUACACUCUGGGGUAUUAAUGUUUUGUUAAAGUGGAAAGCACAUCUAUGUAUUGCUUUUAUUGUUUUAUUGUAUUGCAUAAAAUUCUUAUAAUGUGAAGCAAUAGAAGAAAUAUUCUUAGAUUUUGCAUUUUUUGCUGAGGCCAUGGCUAUCUGGAUUGAUAAUGUAAACAUGGUCUAAUCAAAAACUAUGGUGAAUGCUUAAAUGUAAAAAUUUAUUAGAGUAAAAGACAUUGUUAUUAAUUCCUCUCAAAAUAUUUCCCCUCUCUUUAAAAGUACUUCUUCAGAAAGUGGUAAGAACAAUAGAAGUGUGUUGAAAGCUGGAGAGAGUAGAUAUUAUGAAAGGGAAUUAAUGGCAAUACAUCCUUUAUUGUUAAUACAUUUUUAAAAUAUAAAAUUCACUAUGCAGUAUAUUUUGAUCAUACCAUGUAUAUGAUCUUUACUUGGAACUAAGGAUCAUUUCAUCUGUUGUUUAUGGAGAACAAUGAUUGGAAGAGCAUUUCCUAUUUCUGUGAUGGGAGUGGGUGUUUUACACUGGGAGUGUUUCUUUGCAUUCUCAUAGCUUUUCUGGUGAGGUAUAUUAUGGAUACCACCAUCACUGCAAAAUUUCAAUAACAUUCUAAGUAUCUUCAGAUCACUCUUGGUGUCACUUUUGGUGUAUUGUUUUAGCUAAGCUGCCUGACUUCUUUUAAGAGAUAAUAUGUUAUAGCAUUUAGUCUCUCAAUCAACUUACCCAGUGAACAUGGUCCAGCUUAUUAAUAUUCCCCUUAAAAUGUGUUUAGAUCUGGGUUGUCUGCCAAAAGCCUCGUGAGUAUGGAAAGUGACUAGAUCAUGAGAGUGCUCAGUGGAUAACUCACUGAGGAGUUCAGCAGCUGAGAGAGCUGUCAGAGGCAGGGCCUGGUUAGUGGCCAGUCACUGUACAUCUCCCGCCCUGGCUCCUUAUCACUCUGCUUCCAAGACAUGAGCAGUUUUCCUCCACCCAGGCCCUUCUACCACAUGUACUGUUUCUGCCUUUGAGCCUGCUGACUAUGGACUGAAACUUUUAAAAUUGUGAGCCAAAAGAAACCUCUCCCAGCCAAUUGGCCAGCCUGCCCCGAGGGAGGAGAGCUCACUAUGGCCACAAACUGAAGAGUCACUUGGUCACCUGCGCAGCCUCGGACACUUCCCCUGCCUUGGCCCCAUGCUCUUCAGCCUGGGCUUGCAGGGCUCGCAGAGGCCUUGAGUUGGAGGAAGACAGUGGCAGCCAGGGCACUGGGCCUAAAGAUUGCUCCUUAGAAGAGAGAGAAGAACUUUUGGACAUUCCUCAAAGAAAAUGGAAACUUACUGAUGACAAUAAGAGGCUGAACUACAAAACUGAAGAAAUGAUGACAGAUAUUGAUAAUCUAAUUUCAAUGGAAGAGAACAAAACUACUCAGAAGAACAAAAGAAAGCCAUGGGAAGAAACAAAUUCAACAUGGACUCCAAAAAGGGAAUUUAGUUUCUAGUAGAAAGUGACCUGCUACAGAGCUCCACAGAAGACAUCACCCUAUCCCUCCAUAAAGGAAAAGGCCUAAGUAAGAUGGUCACUGGGGACUACCUGGGUGAGAAGGAUGAAGGUCAUCAAAGCCUGCAAGAUAGGAGCGGGCCACCAGGUGGAGGAGGGAAGGCACAUGGCGUAUCGCAUCUCGGCCCCAUGCCCUGAGGAGAAGGAGGAGUCGAUGAAACCCAUCAAAGCAAGCAUAAGCAUGGAUCCUUUCCAUGAUGUGUUGGCGAUAAGGAAAAGCAGGAUUGCCGAAAUGAAAGAGAGCAUGCUACCUCAGCAGGUAAACUGAAGAUCUGAGUAGACCUGACUCGGGGUAGCACAUGGGGCUGCACCUCCCCAGGCUGCAGUUCCCUGGAACCACUUGUGGCCCGGACUGCACACCUUGAAAGCCUGUGCUGCUUGUGGCUUGUAUCAUUGGCAGCUGUGUUUCCUCCUGUUGACACCUGGCUCCUGUGGGAGAAACCAGAAGCCAGAGCCUUUCUGCUGUGGCUACAGCAGUGGAGGGACAUUCUCAAGGGCAACCGCCUGGUCCUGACACUCACCUGCCCACCGUGACAGUGUCAGUGACCAUUUGAGAAGACAUUGUUUUAUAUCAAAAUAGGAAAGGAAAAGCUACUACUUUUUCUCAGAGAUAUUGGAUUAUAGCUUUCAUAUUCCUCUUUAUACCCUGAAAUUGUAAUGCAAGAUACAGCUAUAAAUAUAACUCUUGGACACAAGUAUAUAUUGUACACUGAAAUACAUGUAUGAGGAGGGGUGGAGAAGAGAGAAAGAAAGAGCCCCUCCCAAAGGGAGUGCUUAUCUUACGUAAUGACCAAACGUACAAGGAACUAGGAACAGUCCAUUACCUUUCUCUUGUAAUAACAUAAUCUGAAACGUGAGCGCCCCUUGUGAGUGGAAGACACAAGCCAUGGCUGAAGAUGUGUGGCGUGUAGAGUUUUCUGUGGAGUGGAGGGGCCCAAAUCUGAAGUGGGGUAGACUUUGAGAGGUUCUCUGUAUUCCUGUGCAAAACCCAAGUCCAGGAAUGAAAACCUCAGACUGCAUGCUCUUAGUAUUUUGUUCUGAUAGCAGAAAUAAAUCUUCCCAUGAGCUGCCUUGAAAUAGAGACUGUGCAGCCACGGGUCCUUUGCCUCAGGAUGGCUGACCUUGGGGUGUAGCUUUACAUCAUACCAGACCACAGAGGCUUCAAGGUUGAAUCUUUCCAUCAUGCAUUAGAUUGAUGAUUUUUUAUUUUUUAAAUUUUUUUUUUUGUACGGGAGAAGUAUUGACAAUCAGACUCAGGACCCCAGGUUUGCCAGGCAGGUGGCUGUGCCACUGAGCUACAUACCAGGCCCAAGACUGGUAUACAUGCAACUUGGCCCCUCCUCUGCCAUGCACAACCUUCCUGGACCCAGACCAACCAUGAUGCCUCCACACUGCAGGCCAGCCUUGGGCCAACUCCGAUUAAGCUACAGCAGUGUUGGGCCAGCAUUUCACACAAGGAUGAGCCAUGUCCUUUCUCCUGAUGUUGUAAUCCCAGUCUAACCUAGGAGCAUGGUGCUUUCUGUCUGAAAGUAUCAAGAGAAGUGGUACUGACUCUUCCAUCACCAUGGAAGCUUCCAUCACACCAGCCAGCUGGCUGUGAGCCAGCUCUCCUCGAUGGCUGUUUACCCAGGAUCAGCCGAAGGCCCUGGUGCUCAGAAGCUUGAGUAACUUGCCCUCAAAACAGUAUUAUAUAAAAUCACUUAAUUCCCGGGUUUCUUGUGACACUAUAAACCCUAAAACAUCUGCUAUCAUGCUGACUGGGCCAGCUAGGUAGGCUACUGACUGUGUACCUGGCUUCCACCUGGCUGCCUAGAAAUGGGACCGGUCCCCUCCCACCACUACAGGGGCAGAGAGUCUCAACCAUGCUCACCUACUUCUCACCUGAGGGCCUACGCUCAGUCUGGAGUUACCAGUCCUAACUCUGGCCAAAGACAAAGUUUCUUCCAGAGACUAAGGGCAGUAGCCCGUUGUGAGGAAGAGCCUCACAGGGAAAAUGGUGGCUUCCUAGCUCCUCUAGCUGUCUUGCUGGGCCCCAGUUAUCAUUUGAGAUUCAUUUGCAUUGACCCUGGACCCACACAAGCUAGCAUAACUUCAGGAUUCUGUAAGAGUGUUAAGUAGUUUGAUGUGGCAUCACAUGGGAUCAAAGUAGGAGCCAUUCAUCCUGAAGCAGCAUUUAAAAUGCUUCAUAUAAAGCAAUGCCUAUUUUCAAAGUUACAAAUGCAUAUAUCUGAUGUGCACUGAUGUGCUUUGCUGAGAGUUAGGUCGGAAACCACAGGUUGGGAUUUCUUGUUUUCUUAAAUUUGCCUUAGAAAACAUUUCUAUUCACCUAAAUAUAGUUAAUACGUAAAUAAUGUGUAUAUAUAUUGACUUCUGGAGUGUUUUUUUAUUCCAUGUGUAUACCCCCUACAUCUUGCAUGAAGAUCUUGUUGAUACCAAACUAUAUAUUGAUAUUUUAUUGCAAAAUGAAUAGUAAAACUGAAUGGUAUGUGGCUGUGAAAACUUGCAAAUAAAUAAAAAUCACUACAUAAAAAUCA